This 310-nucleotide long non-coding RNA is filed under the name Mytilus galloprovincialis (Mediterranean mussel). Lineage: Eukaryota; Metazoa; Mollusca; Bivalvia; Mytilida; Mytilidae. The record is from RNAcentral.
UUAUUCGGUUUCUUUUUCCUUAUUCUGUUUCUUUUUCCUUAUUCGGUUUCUUUUUCCUUUUUCAAUAUUCAUUUCCUUUUUCGGUUUCUGUUUCCUUAUUAGGUUUCUCUUUCCUUUUUCGGUUUCUAUUUCCUUAUUUGGUUUCUAUUUCAUUAUUGGAAUUUCGUUUCCUUAUUCGAUUUUCAUUUCCUUAUACGAUUUUCAUUUCCUUAUUCGGUUUCUUUUUCCUUUUCCAAUAUUCAUUUUCUUUUUCGGUUUCUAUUUCCUUUUUCGAUUUUCAUUUCCUUAUUCAGUUUCCAUUUCCUUUUUC